AUACGGCAGGUCCGGGCGUUAUCCGGAUUUAUUGGGUUUAAAGGGAGCGCAGGCCGAUGGUUAAGCGUGACGUGAAAUGUAGCCGCUCAACGGCUGAACUGCGUCGCGAACUGGCUAUCUUGAGUGAGUUCGAUGUUGGCGGAAUUCGUGGUGGAGCGGUGAAAUGCUUAGAUAUCACGAAGAACUCCGAUUGCGAAGGCAGCCAACAAGGCCUUUACUGACGCUAAAGCUCGAAGGUGCGGGUAUCGAACAGGAUUAGAUACCCUGGUAGUCCGCACGGUAAACGAUGGAUGCCCGCUGUUUGCGAUAUACUGUGAGCGGCCAAGAGAAAUCGUUAAGCAUCCCACCUGGGGAGUACGCCGGCAACGGUGAAACUUAAAGGAAUUGACGGGG
Molecule: ribosomal RNA, 393 nt
Filed under: uncultured bacterium
Lineage: Bacteria
Description: partial 16S ribosomal RNA
Rfam family: Bacterial small subunit ribosomal RNA
Source: RNAcentral